RNAcentral lists this ribosomal RNA (468 nucleotides) under uncultured bacterium. Its description in RNAcentral is "partial 16S ribosomal RNA". It matches the Rfam family "Bacterial small subunit ribosomal RNA", at positions 28 to 507 of the family's 1533-position model. The record is from RNAcentral.
GACGAACGCUGGCGGCGUGCUUAACACAUGCAAGUCGAACGGAAAGGCCCUAAGUUUGUGCUGUGCUCGAUUGGCGAACGGGUGAGUAACACGUAAGUAACCUGCCCUUCACUUUCGGAUAACUUCAGGAAACUGGGCCUAAUACCGUAUAGGAGCUCCUCCUCCAUGGUGGGCAGUGGAAAGUUUCGUCUGGUGGGGAUGGACUGGCGGCUUAUCAGCUAGUUGGUGGGCUAGUGGGUUACCAACGCUUUGACAGGUAGCCGGCCUGAGAGGGUGAGCGGCCACAUUGAGACUGAGGUACGGCCGAGACUCCUACUGUAGGCAGCAGUGGGGAAUAUUGCACAAUGGGCGGAAGCCGGAUGCAGCAACGCCGCGUGCUGGAUGACGGCCUUCUUGUUGUAAACCGCUUUCGCCUUUGAAGACGCGUGAGUGACGGUAAUGGGUAAAGAAGCAACGGGUAAAUACGUU